CACGUAGGGGGCGAGCGUUGUCCGGAUUUAUUGGGCGUAAAGAGCUCGUAGGCGGCUCGGUAAGUCGGGUGUGAAAACUCGGGGCUCAACCCCGAGACGCCACUCGAUACUGCUGUGGCUUGAGUCCGGUAGGGGAGCGUGGAAUUCCUGGUGUAGCGGUGAAAUGCGCAGAUAUCAGGAGGAACACCGGUGGCGAAGGCGGCUCACUGGCCCGGUACUGACGCUGAGGUGCGAAAGCGUGGGGAGCAAACAGG
Molecule: ribosomal RNA, 254 nt
Filed under: uncultured bacterium
Lineage: Bacteria
Description: partial 16S ribosomal RNA
Rfam family: Bacterial small subunit ribosomal RNA
Source: RNAcentral